CAAGUCGGACGGGCCGCAAGGCCAGUGGCGCAAGGGUGAGUAAGGCGAAGGUAACCAACCCCGGGGUUGGGCAUAGCCGAGGGAAACUUCGGGUAAUUCCCAGCGACGCGGCCUGCCGGCAUCGGCGGGCCGCCAAAGAUUCAUCGCCCCGGGACGGGCCUUUGUGGUAUUAGCUCGUUGGCGGGGUGACGGCCCACCAAGGCUACGAUGCCUACCGGGCGUGCGAGCGUGGCCCGGCACACUGGGACUGAGACACUGCCCAGACUCCUACGGGAGGCUGCAGUCGAGAAUCUUCGGCAAUGGGCGCAAGCCUGACCGAGCGACGCCGCGUGGAGGACGAAGGCCUUCGGGUUGUAAACUCCCUGUCGAGGGGGAGGAAGGGGCAACCUUGACCGAUCCCUGGAGGAAGCACGGGCUAAGUUCGUGCCAGCAGCCGCGGUAAGACGAACCGUGCGAACGUUAUUCGGAAUCACUGGGCUUAAAGCGCGUGUAGGCGGGCCGCCACGUCGGCUGCUGAAAUCCCCCGGCUCAACCGGGGAACGGGCACCGAUACGAGCGGCCUCGAGGGGGUUAGGGGGGGUCUGGAACUUCCGGUGGAACGGUGAAAUGCGUUGAUAUCGGAAGGAACGCCCGUGGCUAAAGCUAUGCCCUGGACCCUUUCUGACGCUGAGACGCGAAAGCCAGGGGGGCGAACGGGAUUACAUACCCCGGUA
This 713-nucleotide ribosomal RNA is filed under the name uncultured Planctomycetia bacterium. Its description in RNAcentral is "bacterial SSU rRNA". It matches the Rfam family "Bacterial small subunit ribosomal RNA", at positions 58 to 792 of the family's 1533-position model. The record is from RNAcentral. Lineage: Bacteria; Pseudomonadati; Planctomycetota; Planctomycetia.